UACGUAGGGUGCGAGCGUUGUCCGGAAUUACUGGGCGUAAAGAGCUCGUAGGUGGUUUGUCGCGUUGUUCGUGAAAUCCCACGGCUUAACUGUGGGCGUGCGGGCGAUACGGGCAGACUGGAGUACUGCAGGGGAGACUGGAAUUCCUGGUGUAGCGGUGAAAUGCGCAGAUAUCAGGAGGAACACCGGUGGCGAAGGCGGGUCUCUGGGCCGAUACUGACGCUGAGGAGCGAAAGCGUGGGGAGCGAACAGG
Molecule: ribosomal RNA, 253 nt
Filed under: uncultured bacterium
Lineage: Bacteria
Description: partial 16S ribosomal RNA
Rfam family: Bacterial small subunit ribosomal RNA
Source: RNAcentral